Molecule: small RNA, 365 nt
Filed under: Arabidopsis thaliana (thale cress)
Lineage: Eukaryota; Viridiplantae; Streptophyta; Magnoliopsida; Brassicales; Brassicaceae
Description: ATSL223840
Source: RNAcentral
AAACUGAUUCAAAAAAAAUCUAAAAAUAGGUUCAUGCAAAGAUGAAAGAAGAAUUGGUAAUAAAGUUUUCAAAAUAUCAGGUCAUGUUCGUUUCAUCAGUCAGAUGAAUCAUCUGGAUGGAGAUGAAUUUUGAUGUUCGUUUGGUGCCAAAAACGGUUCAUUCAGAUGAUCCAUCCAAAUGAAUCAUCUGGAUGAGUUUGAAAAUUUAGACUAAAUUUUGAAACUCAUUUGACUGAACUAAAUUGGAUCAUUUGGAUGGAGAUAAUUCAGUCUAAAAUAACAAAUGACAAAAAUACCCUAAUUAUUUCAAGUGAUUAUUUAGAUAAAAAACAAAUAGACUUAAAUCUUAUUUUACAAUUAUUUUU